AAACAGAGGAAAAACAGAGCAAGAAGAACAGAGUUUUGCUGCAUUUUUUUUCUUCUUCUUCUUCUUCAA
This 69-nucleotide small RNA is filed under the name Arabidopsis thaliana (thale cress). RNAcentral's name for it is "ATSL289960". The record is from RNAcentral. Lineage: Eukaryota; Viridiplantae; Streptophyta; Magnoliopsida; Brassicales; Brassicaceae.